Syngnathoides biaculeatus (alligator pipefish) is the source of this 2793-nucleotide long non-coding RNA. RefSeq lists it as uncharacterized. The transcript is spliced from 4 exons. The record is from RefSeq and is a predicted model, not a curated record. NCBI's taxonomy places the organism in Eukaryota, Metazoa, Chordata, Actinopteri, Syngnathiformes, Syngnathidae.
CCUGCCCGUUGACAGCUGGGAUAGGCUCCAGCGCUCCCGAGACCCUUGUGAGGAUAAGCGGCUAACCAAAUGGAUGGAUGGAUGUCAUUUUUUAUUUCACAAAUGCAAUACUAAAGCGGAAUACCAUGUUUCGAAUAGCCGUGGCACCACCUACUCUCGCAAAAAUGAACGUAUAUUGUGGGUUGACCUCCAGUUUCAAAGGCAAUUUGGUUGGAUCGUCUCCUCUCGGGAGAUUAUAAUAAUAAGAAUCAUAACAAAAAUACAAAGCGGUAUUAAGAAAGAUCUUGUACGGUCGUGGUAAAGGCCCAACAAUAAUAAUAAAGGCUAACUGAAUCGGUUUUUAUGUUUUAAAAGUAUUUUUUCUGUGGUCGUACGAGAGCGGCUCCAGCGACCAGAGACAAAUUCCUCGCGUUUUUGACAAACUGUAUUUUUGAAAAUGAAAAAAAAAAAAAAGAGGAUGCUGAUUCCGAUUCCGAUCCAAUAACCGUGCGGUUUCAACCAGGACUCGCGCACGAUUAAACUUUUCGUAGGACCGUGGGACUCGUGCGCCGAGGAAGCGUUAAAAGCGCUUAGCUGGGGCAGCGCCGCGCUUGGACCCAGACGAAGGGGACGGAGGAGCAGAGGAAAAGCGCCGCGUCAUCAAUAAGACGAGCGAGCGGCGCCGAGCAGUCAGACGGCGUCAGCUUUUUCUCUUGCCAAAAACCUUUUUACAAUGCAACUUUUUUUUGCUUCCCAGAUGUCCCCAUAUGCGCAUAUUUCUGGGAAAGUGACUGCUGAUUGGUGGAGAAGGAGGAAACGUUCCUGAAGGCACUGGGUUAGUGGCUGCCCUUUGGUGGAAUUUUUUUUUCCCUUCCUGAUUCAUGGAGGUUGGCGUUCCAAGUCGAUGGACGGUAGCACGGGAGGUAUUGAGCUCGUGCACGUGAUGUCACCAUUUUCACGGCGCCAUAUUGAAGGUCAAAAAGAGCCGCUCGACAGUGUGGGGGACAUCGAACCGGAGCAGAAUAUUCACAAUGCCCGAGACUUGUUGUGCUGUUGUUUGUAACAACGGACGAGGCAGGUGCCGCCAGUGUAACUCAAGCGCACAUCAAGGCAGCGCCGGAAUCAAACAAUCUUUCAGGUCGCCGCCACGCGCCCGCCGCCUUUGAAGCGCACAUACCGCUUUCAAAUCCCAAUCAACGCCCCUUUUGGUCUCUCCCGCUCCGGUUCCUUCAUUCUGCCGGACGCCUCUUGGCAGCCUCGCUGAGCGCUUUAUCUUUUAUCCUGCACUAAGUCAAAAAAAAAUAUGGGAGAUUGCUGUCACACGUAGGCAGCAUCCAGUACUCGCCGGAAAUUCCCCACAGCCUCCCUGACUAGUUUUCUAAGGAAUACACGAGAUUGUUGUCACGUGUCGGAUGGCGGCCAGUCGUCACCAGAAAACCCCGAAAUGUUGCCAAAGCCCUCUUGGGAGUCUAACCAUUUUAUGGUAGAUUGUUGUUCAGAGUCGGAGAAAAAGGACGAUUCUCACUCGAGCAACUUUAUGCUGGACAGUGAGAAGAAUACAGAAUACCGUGCUGAGCCCGUUUCGGUUUGCGGUAGGAAUGGGUAGGCUGACAGAUGAGGUUAGACUGGAGUCCCCUUGGACCGCGAUGUUCGCAGAGGAUAUUGUGAUCUGCAGUGACAUCAGGGAGCAGGCGGAGGAACAAUUAGAAAGAUGGAGGCACGCACUGGAAAGGAGAGGAAUGAAGAUCAGCCCAAGUAAAACAGAAUAUAUGUGGGUGAGUGAGAGGGGCGGAGGGGGAAGAGAUGGCAAAGGUGGAUGGCUUUAAAUACUUGGGGUCAACAAUACAGAGCAACGGUGAGUGUGGUAAGGAAGUGAAGAAACGGGUCCAAGUGGGAGUGGAACAGUGGGUGGAAGGUGUCUGGUGCUCUAUGUGACAGAAGAGUCUCCGCUAGGAUGAAGUGCAAAGUCUAUAAAACAGCGGUGAGGCCGGGCCAUGAUGUACGGAUUAGAGACGGUGAACAGGAAGCAGACCUGGAGGUGGCAGAAAUGAAGAUGUUGAGGUUCUCGCUUGGAUAGGAUUAGAAAUGAGCUCAUUAGAGGGACAGACCAAAGUUGGAUGUUUUGGAGACAAGGUUGAAGGGUCCAGACUUGAAUGGUUUGGACAUGUCCAGAGGCGAGAAAGUGCUGAGGAUGGAGCUGCCAGGCAAAAGAGCGAGAGAGACAGGAAGACCAAAGAAAAUCACACAUCCAGAACUUCCCAGAUUCUCCCAAAGCUCCUUUCCUGUGAUGUUGCCGCAGAGGCAAGAAUUUGGGAGACUAUUGUGACGUGUAAGACAACAGGCAGUCCACAUCGUCAUGGUCCUGCCGGUCCUUGCCCUGGCUGUGCCGAUCCCCGACACGGAACACGCCGGCAGCAGCAAUCGGUGAGGCUAACCCGUUGCCUUGUCCCUCCGUAAUUAUGACUGAUCCUCGUACGGUCUGGCCUUACCCAGAUCGUUGCCUUGUGUCUUGUUCCCGCACGCUCUUGGUUCCGUUCCAGAUCUCCCGUGCGACCCCUGCCUGCCUCUCACGCCUGACGUCCUUGUUACUGCUGCUUCCGUGGACUCGCUGCUCGCUCCCCGACACCGGACUGAAUAAAAAACGUUCCCCGAACCGCCUCUACGUCUCCCGAGUCGUGCAUUUGGGUCCGACCCCGUGUUCUGGUCGUGACACACACACCAGAUAUCACGUAUCAUCGCACAUGCAGUGUUGCCGAAGGGCUCUUGGCAGCCUUCAGGUCCACUUUUAUACAUGCUGUAGUUGAGGAAAAAUAC